Molecule: long non-coding RNA, 387 nt
Organism: Empidonax traillii (willow flycatcher)
Lineage: Eukaryota; Metazoa; Chordata; Aves; Passeriformes; Tyrannidae
Exons: 4
Source: RefSeq, a predicted model, not a curated record
AGGAGCAGCACUGCAUCCCUUUGGAACGAUCUGUGCCACUCGGGAACGUGUCAGCAGCCAGGUGUGGAGGUUCUGCACGGUGAAGUUCUUCUCUGAGCAGCCCCUUUUCUCAAGGAAGCUCCAAGGAAGCAGUUUUUUCUGGAAACUGCCCCACGGUGGAGUUGUGCCUUCUGGGUCAGAGAUGAAAGGAGCUGGCCUGUAACCUCGUGAAACCGAAGCCCUUUUUUUCCGAAGGACUCUUAAAUCCCAGGAGAAUCUCUGUAAUAAACAUCUGUUCUGGCUACACCAGGCAUAGCAAUGGGUGGCUGCUGUGAUCCUGUGUGUGUUUAGAGGGGGCUCCUCGAUUAACCACAAUUCCUGGGCCACCUGGUGACACCUUUUAAUGGA